Molecule: ribosomal RNA, 253 nt
Filed under: uncultured bacterium
Lineage: Bacteria
Description: partial 16S ribosomal RNA
Rfam family: Bacterial small subunit ribosomal RNA
Source: RNAcentral
UACGUAGGGUGCGAGCGUUGUCCGGAAUUAUUGGGCGUAAAGAGCUCGUAGGCGGUUUGUCGCGUCGGCCGUGAAAACCUGGGGCUUAACUCUGGGCUUGCGGUCGAUACGGGCAGGCUAGAGUUCGGUAGGGGAGAUCGGAAUUCCUGGUGUAGCGGUGAAAUGCGCAGAUAUCAGGAGGAACACCGGUGGCGAAGGCGGAUCUCUGGGCCGAUACUGACGCUGAGGAGCGAAAGCGUGGGGAGCGAACAGG